GCGAACGCUGGCGGCAGGCCUAACACCUGCCAGUCGCACGAACCUUUCGGGGUUAGUGGCGGACGGGUGAGUAACACGUGGGAACGUGCCUUUAGGUUCGGAAUAACUCAGGGAAACUUGUGCUAAUACCGAAUGUGCCCUUCGGGGGAAAGAUUUAUCGCCUUUAGAGCGGCCCGCGUCUGAUUAGCUAGUUGGUUGAGGUAAUGGCUCACCAAGGCGACGAUCAGUAGCUGGUCUGAGAGGAUGAUCAGCCACAUUGGGACUGAGACACGGCCCAAACUCCUACGGGAAGCAGCAGUGGGGAAUCUUGCGCAAUGGGCGAAAGCCUGACGCAGCCAUGCCGCGUGAAUGAUGAAGGUCUUAGGAUUGUAAAAUUCUUUCACCGGGGACGAUAAUGACGGUACCCGGAGAAGAAGCCCCGGCUAACUUCGUG
This 433-nucleotide ribosomal RNA is filed under the name uncultured bacterium. RNAcentral's name for it is "partial 16S ribosomal RNA". It matches the Rfam family "Bacterial small subunit ribosomal RNA", at positions 29 to 507 of the family's 1533-position model. The record is from RNAcentral.